AGGAGCCCCAGGCCAGGGCAGACCUGGCAGCCAGGGUCCCUCAGGGCGGCCUGGAAAUCCUGGGACCCCUGGGUCCUCCUGGAACCAAAGGGGACAAAGGGGAACGGGGUGACCUGCAGUCGACAGCGUCGGUCCAGGACAUCGCCAGGCAGGUCUGUGAGCAGCUCAUUCAGAGCCACAUGGAGCGCUACAACUCCAUCCUGAACCAGGCGCCCAGUCCGCCAGUGUCCAUCCGCACUGUGCCGGGACCCCCCGGAGAGCCUGGCAGACAGGGAACCCCGGGGCCCCAGGGAGAACAGGGACCCACAGGAAGACCCGGCUUCCCAGGACAGAACGGGCAGAACGGGCAGCCGGGAGAACGAGGUACA
Etheostoma cragini (Arkansas darter) is the source of this 368-nucleotide long non-coding RNA. RefSeq lists it as uncharacterized. The transcript has 4 exons. NCBI's taxonomy places the organism in Eukaryota, Metazoa, Chordata, Actinopteri, Perciformes, Percidae. The record is from RefSeq and is a predicted model, not a curated record.